GCGGUGGUAAACAAAACGCCCAACCCUACUACUCCACCGCCAGCGUCUCUAUGGGACCAGCUUCCGGAGCCCCUUCACCUCACCGAACGCAAAUCCCUCCGCGUUCGCGUCACUUCCGGGAGACUCUGGUGGCGACUCCACGAAAUACCCGGAUGUAACUAUGAUGGCUGCCAUCAGUGGGGGAUCGCAGUGGAGUUCGAGUCAAGAGCUGCCCGGAAAGCGCUCAGAGUUGGGGCUUCAAGGAGGCCUGUCAAAGAACAAAAGAUGAGAUUACUGGGGCGGCAAGGUGCCCCAAACGGCCUGGGAACUGCGCCUCCGCACUUCCUGUUAACUUGCCGCCAAGUUUUUCUAGAGGAGUCGCUCCUUUUGGCCGGGUAGAUCUACUGGGUUCUUGGCACAGUACCAUAUGGACCUGGGCAAAGCAUUGUUAAGGUGGAAAUUUUUAUUGUAUUAAUC
Molecule: long non-coding RNA, 456 nt
Filed under: Mustela putorius furo (domestic ferret)
Lineage: Eukaryota; Metazoa; Chordata; Mammalia; Carnivora; Mustelidae
Description: lncRNA (ENSMPUG00000027293.1)
Source: RNAcentral